GUUUCUGAGCUACAUAGAAGAGCCUUGUUGUGAUAUUCUGCAUUCACGGGAGCUCCACACAUGGUGGGAAUAAUGGAAGGGCAAAACAGAGAAUGACUGCAUAAAUUGUAUGACCUGUUUCUCCAGCUGCAUAACCAGAUUAUAUAGGCCUUUCCCUACAAGAAUGGAAAAGAACUUUUUUAGGUUCUUUUUGUUUUGGUUUGUGAUUUUUGUGAUUUUAUUUUUUUAGGGAAGUGUUUAGGGGAUUUUGUGGUGGUUUUUUGAGUUGAUGUCUUCUUGCUGGAAUCAUUCAUCUGAUUUUUUUUUGUAAAUGUGGAGUUCUCAGAAGCUGACAUUCUGAAGUGUUACAAUUUGGGAUUGCCGAGAAUGUUGUCACAACUGGCCAGCUGUCUCUUAAACUCAGUGUAAUGAACACAUACACACUUUUCUUGGAGAGGUGGAAAGCCCAAGAUGUGCAUAUGGUGUGUAACAGAAGGAUACUCUAGCUGCUUGGUAUUAUGAAUGGCAUAGCUGCUAGCAUGCUUCUUAAAUCCUAAGUGGAAAGUUUCUUACCUCCCAGGAAUUCCAUAUUACUUUUGAAUGCCCUCAUGUUGAACUCAGUGUAGUUGUUGAUGAGACCCUAUAAAGAAUGAUGUCCACUUACGUGCACAGACACCACAGUCAUCAGUUUACAGCAUGCAAGCAGCACUGGGAAUAGAAUUUAAGACCUUCGCCUCCGCAAACACAGCUGCUCAUCUGGCUAUAGGCUUUGUAGCCAGCAGAGGGAACUGAUAAACGCUCUCAUAGGGCUGCUUUAUAUAUGUUUUUCUAACCAAGAGAGGGCACUGACUCUCACUCACUUUUGAAAAGGGUCUGUUACAAGUCACCCCUCAACAGUUUCACCUGCCAUUCAAGAACAAACAUGCUUACAUUCAUCUUGCUUUUGCUAUAAAAUACGGACUUGCAUGAAGUUGUUUUAAUCACCAAAAGAUGCCCCUAGACUACAUCGUGAUAUUAAUCCCCUGCAGUGCAAUUACGAGACAUUAAAUUCAUUACACACCAAGACAAUUACAGAAACACAUCCAACAUUUCAGGAGUACAGAGAGACCAAACACAAUUGUUUACUGAUGUGUACAGAGAAUAGGCACAGUUAUUGCACAAGACCCACAAAAAGCUUCAGAACCAGGACGCACCAAUAUAUUUUUAAACACACAUCGCUCCACAACUUUUGCUGAAGGAGAAUUCUGUUAGUAUAAAUAAUAGAUCUCACUUUCUGGACGGAAUGCCACAAAAAAAGCAACAUCACUUGCACAAAACUCUAGAAAAUGUAAAUGGCAAAAGUAAGAAACUUUUGUACAUUCAAAUACAGGUACUUGUUGGUUUUAAUCAGAUAGAACCAUCUCUAACGCUUUUUGUCUUUUCUUGUUCCUUGCUACAAUAACUCAAUUGAAUCACUGCUCUUUUAGAAACUUGACUCUAGUGAAAAGUAAAAAUUAUCUCCCUGUAGAAAGAAAGAAUGCUCAGCGUAGAAUAACUGAAAGGCAAAAAUAGCAAGGGAAAAUACAGCGAUAUUUUAAAGUUUCAAGGAUAAAAUUUAAUCUUUCCUUCCCUGAGAUAUAUGGAAAGACGUACAAUAAACAGAAAUUUCUGCCUUGUAGAUAUGCUCAUGAAUGUAUAAAAAUUGUGCUACCUUCUAUGGUAGGUAGUGACAGGACAAUUUUUAGAAUCUAUUCAAUGUUUCAUACAAGACCUACAUGAAUAACUUUGCUUAAGCAGUAAAGAGAUUUUCUUUGAGCUCUUUGCUGCUACUGAGUUACCAAGACUGAAUUCUUAGUCAGAUGUUGCCCACUGUUUCUGGUUCAUAGCAGUGGACCUCAGUUUGCUUAUCCUUCCAAGAGUGAACUGGUCUCCUUUAACCACAGAGGAUAAAAAAGAGGUGGUCAUUUGGUUGAUUGAUUAUUUACCACCUCCAAGAAUGAUUGGCAAAUCCUAUUAUGGGUUUGUAAAGGGUUUCAUAGGAAGUUCAAAAGUGUUAGGAGGAAAUUACCUCUCAAGAUUUGGCACUGGAAUUCUCCCUGCUCCUUCAGCCCUAAAGAGUCUUGCAAAGACAGACCAGCUGCAAAGGGGUGUGCUUUAUAAGGCUGAAUACAAAACGAAGCAUGGAUUGAAGUGCUAGACUGAAACCUGGAAGCUAAAUCUGACUCUCUACCAUGUAUUUUCACUGUGACCAUAAGAAAAACUGUCCAUGUAUUUAAUAUCAGUAUGGUCAGAGAAAAAUGUGUUUUUGCUUCACAGAGAGGCAAAUAAAUUCAUGAAGAUCAGAAUGUCUCACAAGCAGUGGUAUUGGCAGGCCUAUGGAGAGAUAAGCAGACAGUGAUGUGUUUAUCCUGUGUGUCUAAAUACCUAGUAUAACACUUUUGACAGCAGUUGGAGUUGUACUAGUGGCUUAAGUGCCACCAGUAUAACUUAAGUGGCUAAAUGCACACUUAAAGAACCUAAGUGCAACUGCCAGGAGAAAUGGCUGAGCAUACCUGCUUAAUUCUGAACUGGUCUGUGGCUGAAAAAAUAGUACAGUCUCUACCUUUUGCUUUUUUAAAGUGUUAUGGUCAUUACUCAAAAAAAAUCUAAACUCCUUGUUCUUCUGCUUUUUCUUUUUUUUUUUUUUGAUCGCAGUUGUAGCAGUAUUUUAAGAUGACAGUAUUUUUAUCUUAGUAUCUGUAUGCGUUGAUCUUAUAAAAAGGAGUUACAGAUCAGCACAGAAGUCAAUAAAUGCAUUCCUAGACAUCUAAGUUCUCUUGGAGACCUGCUGGGUGCAGUUUCCCUUCAUCCCCUGCUGUAGAGUGAUGCUAAGCUGAAUUAUCUACUCAGCCUAAGAGAGAAAUUGCUCAGAGGAGAUUCUGAUCGUAAUUAAACACGUUCCUUUGAAUAAGGUUUUUUAAAUAUGUCCUGCAAUCCAUUUUGCAGAUGCCAGCACAUCAAAUUUCAGAGCAGGCUUUAAUAAAAGGUAUUUUGCUAUAUACACA
Long non-coding RNA from Pezoporus flaviventris, 3002 nucleotides. RefSeq lists it as uncharacterized. Lineage: Eukaryota; Metazoa; Chordata; Aves; Psittaciformes; Psittacidae. The transcript is spliced from 2 exons. The record is from RefSeq and is a predicted model, not a curated record.